This 253-nucleotide ribosomal RNA is filed under the name uncultured bacterium. Its description in RNAcentral is "partial 16S ribosomal RNA". It matches the Rfam family "Bacterial small subunit ribosomal RNA", at positions 524 to 776 of the family's 1533-position model. The record is from RNAcentral.
UACGAAGGGUGCAAGCGUUACUCGGAAUUACUGGGCGUAAAGCGUGCGUAGGCGGUUUGUUAAGUCUGUCGUGAAAGCCCCGGGCUCAACCUGGGAAUGGCGAUGGAUACUGGCGGGCUAGAGUCAGGUAGAGGGUGGUGGAAUUCCCGGUGUAGCGGUGAAAUGCGUAGAGAUCGGGAGGAACAUCUGUGGCGAGGGCGGCCACCUGGACCAUGACUGACGCUGAGGCGCGAAAGCGUGGGGAGCAAACAGG